This 74-nucleotide transfer RNA is filed under the name Streptomyces hygroscopicus subsp. jinggangensis TL01. RNAcentral's name for it is "tRNA-Met". Lineage: Bacteria; Bacillati; Actinomycetota; Actinomycetes; Kitasatosporales; Streptomycetaceae. The record is from RNAcentral.
CCAGUAUUCGAGGUUGGCGCGGAUGACGCCGAUAUCGAUGUCGUCGAAGUCGACGGCGUGCAAAUCGUGCUCCA